Molecule: long non-coding RNA, 222 nt
Organism: Clupea harengus (Atlantic herring)
Lineage: Eukaryota; Metazoa; Chordata; Actinopteri; Clupeiformes; Clupeidae
Exons: 6
Source: RefSeq, a predicted model, not a curated record
ACACUUGUUGGUUCCUUGCUUUUUGCUGUAGCUUGUGUUGUUUUAUCUGCACCAGUGACAGAUGGACAAGACUCAGAUGACAGAGCAGCUCCAGUCAUAGCAUUCAUCAAUGGAGAAAACCGUGAUGAUCAGACCCCUACAAGUCCAGCCCAAGGAGUCUCAGAUGGGAAAGACUCAGCUGAGGACGUUACAGGUGCAGACUCAGCUGACACCACAAAUCAG